UGCCCGGUGGUGUAAUCGGUAACACACCAGAAUUUGGAUCUGGGUUUCCUGGUUCGAGUCCAGGCUGGGCAG
This 72-nucleotide transfer RNA is filed under the name Candidatus Omnitrophota bacterium. RNAcentral describes it as "Candidatus Omnitrophica bacterium (aquatic metagenome) tRNA-Gln". It matches the Rfam family "tRNA". From Rfam's summary of the family: Transfer RNA (tRNA) molecules are approximately 80 nucleotides in length. The record is from RNAcentral. Lineage: Bacteria; Pseudomonadati; Candidatus Omnitrophota.